This is a long non-coding RNA of Mytilus trossulus (common blue mussel), 265 nucleotides long. RefSeq lists it as uncharacterized. The transcript has 3 exons. NCBI's taxonomy places the organism in Eukaryota, Metazoa, Mollusca, Bivalvia, Mytilida, Mytilidae. The record is from RefSeq and is a predicted model, not a curated record.
CAGAGAUGCUAACCUUGCUAUUGAUUCUGGAGAACCUAUGAUACCUAUUAGGAAUAAACAGACAAACACAGAUGGGAAAAGUGUUGAAAUACUUAACAGAAAUCCAUUUGGAAUGACAGUGUGUGCAGAUCAUGGGUGGCAGAAAAGAGGAUUUGAUAGUUUAACAGACUUUUAAAGAACAUGGCCUGUCUCCAGGCAGUUACACUAGUGUACCAUACAACUUAAAGAAAGAUAUGGAAAGAGAAUGUCGUCAACAGAAAGCAAC